RNAcentral lists this long non-coding RNA (904 nucleotides) under Marmota monax (woodchuck). The record is from RNAcentral. Lineage: Eukaryota; Metazoa; Chordata; Mammalia; Rodentia; Sciuridae.
AAGGUCCCGCUCCAAGCUGAGGACCAAGGCUCCAGUAACCUUUGAGGACAAAUCACAUCCAAACCAUAGCAGGUGUUUUAAAUUUUAUUUUUAAAAAUUCAAACAAAAUUUCUGCAGACAAGACACACAAAUUCUCUUUAUAUUACAUAAAAGUACAAAGAAAAGUUCAGAGAGGUACAGAGUAACAAUUUUUAUUCUUUAACAGGAGGUUAGAUUGUGGGAGAAAGGCAACUUUAACUUUCCACCUUGUAUGCACAGCCAAAAGGGCCUCGCCAGAGCUAAGCUAAGCCAGUGGCAGGGCCACAUCCUUGAACCUUGUGUUAGUCACUUCUUUGUCACUAUGACAAAAUAACUGAGAAAUACAACCUAAGGGAAGAAAGAUUCAUCUGGGUUCAUGGUGUUGGAGGUUUUAGUUUAUGCUUGGCUGGCUCCAUUCCCUGGGCCUGGAGUAAGGCACAGCAUCAUCCUGGACAGGCCCAGCCAAACAAAGCUGCCCACCACAAGGCUGAGAAGCAGAGAAAGCCGGGAAUGAAGGGCCUGGGGCAAGAUACACCACUCCAGGUCACAUCCCCAGUGACCUUCCUCCAACCAUGCUCUGCCGCCUGCAGUUCCUACCACCUCCCAAUAGCCCAUUAAAUUAUGAUCUGACACUGGACUAGUCCCUUGAAUGAGAUCAGAGCCCUCAUGAGCCAGUUACAUCCCAAAAGUAGCACAUGUGAACAAUGCUACAUUGGGGUCCAAGCCUUUAGCACAUGAACCCUUGAGACACACUCCAGGUCCAAAAUCUAGCAAACUUUCAAAACUGUGAGCUAAAUAAGCCUCUUUUCUUUAUAAAAGUUACCCAUCCUCAGGCAUUUCAUUGUGAUAAAAGAAAACAGACUAAUAGGCUGGGGAUGUGGCUCAG